GGUUUGAUCAUGGCUCAGAUUGAACGCUGGCGGGAUGCUGCCCACAUGCAAGUCGAACGGCAACACGGACUUCGGUCUGGUGGCAGUGGCGAACGGGUGAGUAAUGUAUCGGAACGUGCCUAGUAGCGGGGGAUAACUACGCGAAAGCGUAGCCUGGCCACAUACGCCCUUCGGGGAAAGCGGGGGACCUUCGGACUCGCACUAAUGGAAGCGGCCGAUAUCGGAUUAGCUAGUUGGUGGGAGUAACGGCUCCGCAGGCGACGAUCCGUAGCUGGUUUGAGAGGACGACCAACCACACUGGGACUGAGACGCGGCCAGACUCCUGCAAGGAGGAGGCAGCAGUGGGAUUUGGACAAUGGGGAAACCUGAUCCAGCCAUCCCGCGUGCGAUGAAGGCCUUCGGGUGUAAAGCACUUUUGGCAGGAAAACGGCACGGGAUAAUACCCCGUGCAACUGACAGUACACCUGCAGAAUAAGCACCGGCUAACUACGUGCCAGCAGCCGCGGUAAUACAUGGGUGCAAGCGUUAAUCGGAAUUACUGGGCGUAAAGCGUGCGCAGGCGGUUCGGAAGAAGAUGUGAAAUCCCAGAGCUUAACUUUGGAACUGCAUUUUUAACCUACCGAGCUAGAGUGUGUCAGAGGGAGGUGGAAUUCCGCGUGUAGCAGUGAAAUGCGUAGAUAUGCGGAGGAACACCGAUGGCGAAGGCAGCCUCUGGGAUAACACUGACGCUCGCGCACGAAAGCGUGGGGGCAAACAGGAUUAGAUACCUGAUGGAUCGCGCCCUAAACGAUGUCAACUAGCUGUUGGGGCCUUCGGGCCUUGGUAGCGCAAUAACGCGUGGGUGACCGCCUGGGGAGUACGGUCGCAAGAUUAAAACUCAAAGGAAUUGACGGGGACCCGCACAAGCGGUGGAUGAUGUGGAUUAAUUCGAUGCAACGCGAAAAACCUUACCUACCCCUUGACAUGUCUGGAAUCCCGAAGAGAUUUGGGAGUGCUCGCAAGAGAACCGGAACACAGGUGCUGCAUGGCUGUCGUCAGCUCGUGUCGUGAGAUGUUGGGUUAGUCCCGCAACGAGCGCAACCCUUGUCAUUAGUUGCUACGAAAGGGCACUCGUGGAACUGCCGGUGACAAACCGGGGGAAGACGGGGAUGACGUCAAGUCCUCAUGGUGCCAUGGGUAGGGCUUCACACGUCAUACAAUGGUCGGGACAGAGGGUCGCCAGCCCGCGAGGGAGCCAAUCCCGAAACCCGAUCGUAGUCCGGAUCGCAGUCUGCAACUCGACUGCGUGAAGUCGGAAUCGCUAGUAAUCGCGGAUCAGCAUGUCGCGGUGAAUACGUUCGGGUCUUGUACACACCGCCCGUCACACCAUGGGAGUGGGUUUUACCAAGUAGUUAGCCUAACCGUAAGGAGGACGAUUACCACGGUAGGAUUCAUGACUGGGGUGAAGUCGUAACAAGGUAG
This 1461-nucleotide ribosomal RNA is filed under the name uncultured Bordetella sp. RNAcentral's name for it is "partial 16S-23S ribosomal RNA intergenic spacer". It matches the Rfam family "Bacterial small subunit ribosomal RNA". Lineage: Bacteria; Pseudomonadati; Pseudomonadota; Betaproteobacteria; Burkholderiales; Alcaligenaceae. The record is from RNAcentral.